CGGAUAAACAUUUCCACGAACGAUAAGGCUGCAGCAUCCAAGGUAAAUAAGUUGCCUACCAAAGGGCCACUGUGACAGCGGGAGUUUGUCUUCAGCGUGGCAGCAGAGCCAUGCCAAGCUGGCAUUUCUGCAGACUGUGCAGAAUUGGGUGUCCCCUGUGGGUGUCCCCCCCAGGGCUGAGCUGGGGGGACAGGGAGUGUGUGCUGAGGGUGACCCGUGUUUGGGCAGGGACAGCAGAGCUCCCAGUUGUCCCUGCCGCAUCACCUCCCAUUGCUGGUGCCCUGGGGUGUCCUGCAAAGUGGGGGAGCGGUGGGCACUGUCACAGCCCCUGGUCCCUGUGCUGGCCCUCUGUGCACUUCACCUCUGGGACAGCUGUCCCUGUGUCACAGCAUUUCUGCCCGAAAGGAAUGGGAAGGAGGAGCCCUGAGCACCUCAUCCGUCCCAUGCCCGCUGCAGCAGCACGGCCAGGUCCUCCCGCAGCCCGGAGCUGCUCCGAGAGGCUCCGCAGGUGCUGGACUCCGGACACGCUUUUCCUUUGCUUCCCAUCAAAUCUCCAGCCAAAACCUCCUCUUCCCCUGGGCAGCCUUGCAAAGAUGCUUAUCGUCCCGAGGUCCUUGUUGUAAGGAGGAGGAAUGUGGGGCUGAGGGACACGCUGUGCAGUGGGGACGGUGCCAGCGAGCCGCUGUGCUCGGGCAGGAGCAGCGUGCCUGGAAAGCACAGCUCGCAGCACUGGGAGCGUUCAGAGAAAGCCUCGCCUUCGAGGGGAAACCAGGAUGGGGGGUAGCGCUGCCUAAAAGGAGGGAAAACUUUAGUAAAGUGGGGUGGGGGCUUUCGUUUGGCUGGUAGCAGCUCUUCUUCCAUGCCCAGCAUUGCCGUGACAGCUUGCAGUGGCACGGGGCAGCUGGAGAAGGGUCCGACCAUGGGCAGGGAGGUGGUUCGGGGCCCUGGGUGAUGUAGGAAUGACCCCGCUCAGGGGGAUAGUUCCUGCUGCCAGGGAGCUCCGUUCCACGGAGAAUGGCGGGGAGGGCAGUGGCAGCCAGUAACAUCUGCUGCUCCGAUGGUGUCAACCAGCGUCACAUCCCUGGCAGCUCGAGGUGUCCCGCUGGCCAACAGCUCGGAGGCUUUCGCAGGGCUUGGCUGUUGUUCUGGAAAAGCAGCUUGUCCCCAGCUAGGUUAGAUGAGGAGCGUGGCCUCGCUGUCUUCGGGAAGUUACAAAUAUUCCUGACCCAGGACCCUUUGGGGGAGGCUGUUUGCACACCCAUGGGGGCUGGUGGUCGCCCCGGGGAUGCUGAGGAGCCGUCCCCACCCAAACUGGCUCCGAAUGGUGCCGUUCCCCAUGGCCACAUCCCCCUUUCCCAGCCUAAACCGGAAGAUACCGCCACACCUGAGCUCGGUUUGUGUGUUCCCCACUGUCACCAGGACUUUCUGUCAAAUCUCACCCUCACCAGCUCGGGAUUAUCUCACAGAAGUGAACAUUUACCAUCUAAAGAAGCACAUAUGUCUUUUUUUCUCCAUCCAACUUCGAAAUGUCGCGCUCUGGGCAUCCAGCGUCUCGCGGGGCUCUCCUGGUCCGUCUGUCUGGCAGGAGGUGGGUGUUGAUAAGACCUCAGCGCUACCGCUCAUGACAGGCCAGUGUGAAACCAGCUCCUCUGGGUUCCCAAGUGACUUCCAUGAAACUUCUCCAACAUCUCCUCCUACAGACACCUCUUCCCUGCCGCUGACAGUUCAAAGCAAGCCCUGAACUGGUGAAAGGAGCCGGGAACGCGCCGUCCUGCUUGCUGGAAGCCAGUGGUCCCUGUGUAAUCUCAUCUGGAGCAGUUCCUCCAACGGUCGCAGUCUGCGUCCCAUCAGAGCCAGACAGAUGCCGGUGUUGGUUUGCUUUGGUUUCCUAAACCAAACUGAUGUGAGCAGUGUCUGUUUUGGUUGGGUUUGUUCCAGUUGUUUUGAUCAAAUGCUCUUGAGUUUUGUAUCUGAAACCACUGAACCUGGCCCGAGUUUGCCUUUAAUUUGCAAACGCUGCGCUCGGAGCCGGGAGCGCUCCCAUCCCCGCGGACACACGCGGGUUUGUCAGGAUGCUUUUGGCACAGGGACCGAAUGCUUCACAACAUAACAAAGAAACAGAGCUCUCUGAUGCUCCUGCGAAGGCUAAAGCUCCAUCUGCCUAGAUGAAGGGAGAACUGUUAAACCUACUGUGAGCAUCCCAAAGGCACAGCUACUUCUGAGCAGCUUAUCUUUUGACUCAUGUAAAUGUUAUUUCUGCCUCUUCCACAUUUUCAAGGUUUCAGCUCCGCUUCACAUCGGGCCUCCCGAUGAGGCUCGUGCUGCAAACACCUGAGCAGAAAAGCACUGGAACCAUCUCCCAGAUGUCUCUGGCUCCCAGGUUUGCAGGUUCUUUCUGAGCGUUUGCAACCUAAACCUCCUCUUCAUUGCUAGUCCUGGCUCUUUUCAGCCUUUGUAAAGUGCAGAGACUCCUGAUGCGGGCACUGGCAGCAAGUGUCCAUCUCCUGGUACCUCCCCUUGCUCCGGUGGAGGGAACACGCUCAACAUCUGGCCAGCGUCUGCAGCUUCCUCUCCAAAAACACAAAGCGCUGCAUUCUUCAGCCCAAACAACAUUCUUGAAUGGAGAUGUGAGGCAAUGUGGAGGGAGGCGGUCACUGGGAGAUGGUGCGAUUGCCAAGGAGCCCCAGGGCUCUGCUGGAAACGCCGGCCGGGGGCUGACGGGGUGAUGCUCUCACCGCGGUUCCUGGGUGACAGCACCGUCCGAUGCCACCAAGGUCACCCAAAUUGCACGGGAGGUGCUUCAGAACUGCCCUUGCAAGCUGCAGGGGCUCAGCCCAGGCUUUCUGUGGCUGGUAGGGGGUGACAUUAGGGAUCCUCCUGCUCUUCUCCCUCCCACAGGACACCGGGGGCUGGGAAAUUGGUGGCCGCUGGAGCGCCGCUCACUCACUCACAUCCCGUGCCCCAGCCUCAUCUUCUCCGUGCCAUGGGGCUCUGAAAAAGCGCCUGCACCAGAGAGGUGUCUUGGCACCAAAAAUAAGGUUUUGCCAGCUCCCGGCCCCCAUUCGUGUCCCGCUGCUGCUGCUCUGUCGCCUGCCCUUGGACGUGUGCACCCAGUGCCACCCACAAGUGACACAGCCCCGUCCCCCUGUCCUCGCUCCCAUCGUGGUCUGGCAGCGAGCGGGGCCGGGCUGUGCAGGAACAACAAGCAGCUUCUAUAAUAUUUGGCUCCAGAUCUCUUCGGGGGGGCUUAGGGCAGGGAGAGCGACCCCCAAAUUGCCCCUUCCCCUCCGCAGCGCUGCCUUUGCACGGCUGCCCACGCUGGGAAACACUGGUUUGGCUGGGGAGGCCUCUGCCCCGUCCCACCGUAAUUACAGGCUGCCUUGGGGCUCUGGAGCCUCAUGUAAUAACUCCCUGGUCUCUUGGGGUCUGCGGGUUAUUAUGGGGUGGACUCAACCCUCCCAACACCCGGACCCAGGAAUGUCCCCACAGCCCGUCCCAGCCCCACGGCCAUGGCUCUGGGUCCCCAGUGGUCUCAGCGUGUGUCCUUUCAUCCCCGGCCCUGCAGAGCUGAGACGCCGGAUUCCUUAACUGCGCGUCUCCAGGCUCCAGUCUCUCCCCUUGCAGCGUGGCUGGUGCCCUGGGCUGUGCUGGGAGAGGAUGUCUCAGCACAAAGAGGGUCAGAGCUUAUUACAACCGCUGUAAAAUGUGUUUGAAAAGGUUAAAUGCUUAAUUUGGAACAGAGCUGGAAACUAUGAAGCGUUUCCUCAUCCAGUCGCUCCCUUGUCUGUCCCUGGACUUUUGCUGUACAUGGCUAACAUCUCCAUAGCUGACGGGGGCUGGUUACCAGCAUGCAGUGAAAUGCCUUUGAGAGCCUAUGGGUUUUGCAGAGGAGAAGUUUGCACAAGAUUAACCAAGUGCAAACCCACUUGGGAGGACAGUGAGGGAGCUGCAAGGACCUCACAGUCCCAUCGGGUGUCACGGGUGCUGCUCCUGCCGCUGUAACUUAUGGCCUGUGUCCGGGCUCGUGGUGCAGAUGUUUGUCCACAGCUGCCUGGGUAUCACUCAGUUCUGCUCAUGGGUGUCGCGUGGAGUCAGGACCAAACCCAGCAGGAUGCUGACGUCUUCCCAGCGCCGUUUGCAGGACCUGAUCUGCUGCAGUCUGGCACGGGACCUGCCCUGGCUCCCCAGGGUGACGGGUACCCAAACCCGGAGCCCCGCGCUCAGCAUCACGGGGCAGAGCAGCCAGGACGUGGCAGCAGCUCCCAGCCCCUUGCCGGACCUGAGGAGGGGACAGGGCCACGGGAAGCACCAGGACAUGUGCUGGUGGUGGCAAUCGCUCCGUGCUGGGAGGCUGAGCACGGUGUCCCGCCAGGACCCGCUGCCUCUCCCCACCUCGGCAUCACGGCAGCUGUGCCGGCUGCCAGCGCUGGCUGCAGCGGCCCAAGGAGCAGAAGGAAAAAAUGCAGCGUUUCCUUGCUCAGAGCCUUCAAUUCAUGUUUUCAAAGGCCCUUUGAACACUUGGCUCCUCUCUGAAGCCUCCCAGCUCUCCUGAACAAACAGCAGGAGGGAGCAGGUUCAUUCCAGCCCCUUGACGGAGGCUCCUGGAUGGGGAAAAUCUCACGUCAUGUUUCCUACAAGCAGGGAGCCUCGGAGCCCUCUUGCAAAGUGCCGAGCCCAAGGGCCCCGUCUCUGCCUGUCCCCAAACCUGCCCCAGGUCUCUCCUCUGCAGCUUUCAAGGCUCAUUGCAGAUCCUCCUCCUCCUCCUCCUCCAAGGUGAGCUCGGUACCCAAACCUCUCUGCAAACAGGGUUGCAGACACACCAGGAGCCAAAUAUAAACCCAUGCAGAGAUUAAUAAAUUAUAACUGUCGGUCUGAGGCGCAUCAGGCAGUAAACAAGGAGAGGGUCCCGGCUCAGCGCCUGGGAAGGUCACGGCACCGAACUCCCCUCCCAAGUGGUGCGCGGGCUGUUUUUCUCUCUAAAGCAUCUGAAAUAUGAAAUAUGAAAAAAAAGAAAAGGCGCAACAUCAGCUGCCUGGGAAUCCCAUCAGCGUCCCCGCCUGCUCCCGGCCCCGCGCUGGCAAACCACGCCACCCGUCCCGCUGCCCGCAGCCUCUGCACCCUGGCAUCGUUUCGGCCGGAGCAGAGCAACCCUCUGCCCUCUGCCCUGGCUCCCAGCGCCACGCUCAGCCUCUGCCGAGCUGCAAACGCUCCUCCACAUGACAGGCAGGCAUGGUUUUCUGUUCUUUUUUAAAGGAGGAAAAAAUAAAAAGCUUUGGAGACAAACAGAAGCAAGAA
Columba livia (rock pigeon) is the source of this 5295-nucleotide long non-coding RNA. RefSeq lists it as uncharacterized. Lineage: Eukaryota; Metazoa; Chordata; Aves; Columbiformes; Columbidae. The record is from RefSeq and is a predicted model, not a curated record. The transcript is spliced from 2 exons.